GAGAGCGUAGCUCAGUUGGUAGAGCAAGGGACUUUUAAUCCCUGGGUCCUGGGUUCGAGCCCCAGCGCUCUCA
RNAcentral lists this transfer RNA (73 nucleotides) under Pirellula sp. RNAcentral's name for it is "tRNA-Lys". It matches the Rfam family "tRNA". From Rfam's summary of the family: Transfer RNA (tRNA) molecules are approximately 80 nucleotides in length. Their secondary structure includes four short double-helical elements and three loops (D, anti-codon, and T loops). The record is from RNAcentral. RNAcentral also lists the same sequence under 1 other name. Lineage: Bacteria; Pseudomonadati; Planctomycetota; Planctomycetia; Pirellulales; Pirellulaceae.